This 253-nucleotide ribosomal RNA is filed under the name uncultured bacterium. RNAcentral's name for it is "partial 16S ribosomal RNA". It matches the Rfam family "Bacterial small subunit ribosomal RNA", at positions 524 to 776 of the family's 1533-position model. The record is from RNAcentral.
UACGAAGGAUGCAAGCGUUGUUCGGAUUUACUGGGCGUACAGGGAGCGUAGGCGGUUGGGUAAGCCCUCCGUGAAAUCUCCGGGCCUAACCCGGAAAGUGCGGAGGGGACUGCUCAGCUAGAGGAUGGGAGAGGAGCGCGGAAUUCCCGGUGUAGCGGUCAAAUGCGUAGAGAUCGGGAGGAAGGCCGGUGGCGAAGGCGGCGCUCUGGAACAUUUCUGACGCUGAGGCUCGAAAGCGUGGGGAGCAAACCGG